GGGCCGGUAGCUCAGCUGGUAGAGCACGGGUCUUUUAAGCCUGGGGUCGUGGGUUCGAGCCCCACCCGGCUCACCA
RNAcentral lists this transfer RNA (76 nucleotides) under Kiritimatiellia bacterium. RNAcentral's name for it is "Kiritimatiellae bacterium (sponge metagenome) tRNA-Lys". It matches the Rfam family "tRNA". From Rfam's summary of the family: Transfer RNA (tRNA) molecules are approximately 80 nucleotides in length. Their secondary structure includes four short double-helical elements and three loops (D, anti-codon, and T loops). Lineage: Bacteria; Pseudomonadati; Kiritimatiellota; Kiritimatiellia. The record is from RNAcentral.